GACGAACGCUGGCGGCGUGCUUAACACAUGCAAGUCGAACGGUAACAGGCCCUUCGGGUGCUGACGAGUGGCGGACGGGUGAGUAACGCUUAGGAAUCUACCUAGUAGUGGGGGAGUAACCCGGGAAACGUCGGGCUAAUACCGCAUACGCCCUACCGGGGAAAGGGACGGGGACGGUUUCGGUCCGUCGCGCUAUUAGUAUGAGCCUAACG
This 212-nucleotide ribosomal RNA is filed under the name uncultured bacterium. RNAcentral describes it as "partial 16S ribosomal RNA". It matches the Rfam family "Bacterial small subunit ribosomal RNA", at positions 28 to 235 of the family's 1533-position model. The record is from RNAcentral.